UCAGCAACUGCGUGACGCUAUCAUGUCAAUAUGGACCAAAGUCUCUGUUUCCAACACCUUGUCGAAAAUAUGGCACAAGGAAUUAAGGCAGUUUAAAUUUAGUUCCACCCCGGUACUAGCAAGGUGUACCCAAUAAAGUGAGUGAGUGUAUAUUGUAAAAGGAUUAGGCUAGUGGGGGCUAUAGCCUCGUCACAAAUCUGCAUAGGCCCAAUUAAGCACCCUCAAGCAGUUUUUUGAUCAAGAAGUCAAGACACGGACAAGUCAGGCCAAGACCCUGUCUCUGAGGGGGGCAAAGAAGGAGAAAAGAAAGCAGUUAGAAACAUUUGAGGGAAACUCCUGAGCCAAGACAUGAGGAUGAGCAUGUGGUUGAUAUAGAUGUACCCAAAUCUACACUGGUUGCUGACACUACACUUAUGUCAGCAACAGGUGAAGAAGCAAAGAUGUUAACUAGUAAAAGGCAACAGACAUAUUCUCUUCUUCCAUUUCUCCUCUGUUGAACAAAUGUUACUGUAAUGUUAGCUUUUAGACACAUCAAAGCUGCAUGGGGGCAAUUUACUGAGGCCAGACUUUUGCUCAUGUAAAUGUGUGAUAAAGUUAUACCAUAUCUAAUUCCUCCCCCUAUUAGAUAAGUUGCACGUCCAAAGUAUGCUAUUUAAUUACACUAAUUACUGUUGGUUCAAUCCGAGUGUGAUUUUACUCUGUAGUUUGUCUUACAUACAAUCAAACAAUAACUUUAUCAUGUAAGCUGUUGAUAAGGAUCCUUUUUAAUGUGGCUACUGUCUGAAUUUCAUAAUCUGAUGGCGGAAGGAAUAAAAGAUUUGGAGUAAUGAUUACUGUA
Molecule: long non-coding RNA, 838 nt
Organism: Micropterus dolomieu (smallmouth bass)
Lineage: Eukaryota; Metazoa; Chordata; Actinopteri; Centrarchiformes; Centrarchidae
Exons: 2
Source: RefSeq, a predicted model, not a curated record